AAUGAACUGUUUGAAACAAAAAAAGGUUGUAUUUCAGUGUCUCUGCAGGGGAUUAUAGAGCAACAGCGACACCUGCUGUCGACACGUGGUUUUUGGUAGUGAUGCUACAGUCAAAAAUCAGUAAUAAUUCAAACUUAUCAAAAUAAAAUAUAUAAAAUAAUGGUUUCUAUUUUAAUAUCCUUUAAAAUAUCAUUUAUUUCUGUGAGAAAAAAAAAACAUAAUAAAUCAUUCUGAUCCCAAACUCUGACCAGUGUGUGUGUGUGUGUGUGUGCGUGUGUGUGUGUGUGUCACUUACACACUAAUCCCCACAAUAAUAAAUAUGUUAAAUACUCAUCUGAAGAGGAAACUAUGUUGCAUCAUAAUGAAAGGGUGUGUGACGUACACUUUUCUGUAAACUGAGCCAAACAUUUUCACUGAUUUAGGGUAGAGUAACAAUAUUUACUGUAUUGCGCAAGUUACUUCAUACUUAGAUAUAAUUUUAUAUGCAAUAUUACCUUUUCUUUUCAUCAUCAUCUUUAAGAGUUCAUGAUCAUUUCUGUUCAACUUUAUUUCUCAUUUGAUAAAUCCAUUCACAAUUCAUAAAACACAACACAUGAAACUGAGGUACAAGAAGUAUUGACUUCCAAAAGUAAUUGAAAUCGUUUAAAAAUCAAAUCGACAGGUAAAAAAAAAGCCUCAGGUCCAAAUAUUCAUUUAUCACCAAUGAACUGUUUCCCAAAACCUUCCUGCUCCGAUGUCCAGAUCUGAAUUAAAAAAAUCACAAACAGAUCCGAAGUCCCAAUCUGAAUCAAACGAGUCGCGAAUAGGCUCCGAAGUCCCGAACUGAAUCAAACGAGUCGCGAACAGGCCCCGAAGUCCCGAUCUGAAUCAACCGAGUCGCGAACAGGCUCCGAAGUCCCGAUCGGAAUCAACCGAGUCGCGAACAGGCUCCGAAGUCCCGAUCUGAAUCAACCGAGUCGCGAACAGGCUCCGAAGUCCCGAUCUGAAUCAAACGAGUCGCGAACAGGCUCCGAAGUCCCGAUCUGAAUCAAGCGAGUCGCGAACAGGAUCCGAAGUCCCGAUCUGAAUCAAACGAGUCGCGAACAGGCUCCGAAGUCCCGAUCUGAAUCAAACGAGUCGCGAACAGGCUCCGAAGUGCCGAUCUGAAUCAAACGAGUCACGAACAGGCUCCGAAGUCCCGAUCUGAAUCAAACGAGUCGCGAACAGGCUCCGAAGUGCCGAUCUGAAUCAAACGAGUCACGAACAGGCUCCGAAGUGGCGAUCUGAUAACUUCAACCAA
Carassius carassius (crucian carp) is the source of this 1279-nucleotide long non-coding RNA. RefSeq lists it as uncharacterized. Lineage: Eukaryota; Metazoa; Chordata; Actinopteri; Cypriniformes; Cyprinidae. The record is from RefSeq and is a predicted model, not a curated record. The transcript has 2 exons.